GGCAGCAGUGGGGAAUAUUGCACAAUGGGCGAAAGCCUGAUGCAGCGACGCCGCGUGAGGGAUGACGGCCUUCGGGUUGUAAACCUCUUUCAGCAGGGACGAAGCGCAAGUGACGGUACCUGCAGAAGAAGCACCGGCUAACUACGUGCCAGCAGCCGCG
Molecule: ribosomal RNA, 160 nt
Filed under: BTEX-degrading bacterium enrichment culture
Lineage: Bacteria
Description: partial 16S ribosomal RNA
Rfam family: Bacterial small subunit ribosomal RNA
Source: RNAcentral